GGGAUGCAAACCUGAGAUCCUUACAUUUGAACAGGCAAUACAAAUACUAACCCAUUGUACAUUAUUUUUGCACUCCAAAGGAUGAUAGGUGGGUAAACAAAAAUGCUUUAUUCCACAAAAUGAAAAAAACAAAAAGGCUGGCAAAGAGUAUGUAUCCAUGCAAACUGUAUAACAGGGAGGUGGAGGAUGCUUAACCACAUACCAUAGAGGCUGGACACAUCUUGUGUCUUUCCU
Non-coding RNA from Pelobates cultripes (western spadefoot toad), 234 nucleotides. The record is from the annotation of a GenBank genome assembly. Lineage: Eukaryota; Metazoa; Chordata; Amphibia; Anura; Pelobatidae.